GUGGGGAAUAUUGGACAAUGGGGGGAACCCUGAUCCAGCCAUGCUGCGUGUGUGAAGAAGGCCUUUUGGUUGUAAAGCACUUUAAGCGAGGAGGAGGCUACCGAGAUUAAUACUCUUGGAUAGUGGACGUUACUCGCAGAAUAAGCACCGGCUAACUCUGUGCCAGCAGCCGCGGUAAUACAGAGGGUGCAAGCGUUAAUCGGAUUUACUGGGCGUAAAGCGCGCGUAGGUGGCCAAUUAAGUCAAAUGUGAAAUCCCCGAGCUUAACUUGGGAAUUGCAUUCGAUACUGGUUGGCUAGAGUAUGGGAGAGGAUGGUAGAAUUCCAGGUGUAGCGGUGAAAUGCGUAGAGAUCUGGAGGAAUACCGAUGGCGAAGGCAGCCAUCUGGCCUAAUACUGACACUGAGGUGCGAAAGCAUGGGGAGCAAACAGGAUUAGAAACCCGAGUAGUCC
Molecule: ribosomal RNA, 451 nt
Filed under: uncultured bacterium
Lineage: Bacteria
Description: partial 16S ribosomal RNA
Rfam family: Bacterial small subunit ribosomal RNA
Source: RNAcentral